Molecule: long non-coding RNA, 452 nt
Organism: Oryza sativa Japonica Group (Japanese rice)
Lineage: Eukaryota; Viridiplantae; Streptophyta; Magnoliopsida; Poales; Poaceae
Source: RefSeq, a predicted model, not a curated record
GUCCGUCUCCCCUCAUUUGCGCCGCCACCAACACAACAGCGCUUGCGUCGUGCGGCGGUGCUCAGUGGAUUCGCCGGCCGGCCAGCCGGACGCCGGGCGGCAGCUACCGUGGAGCGACAGAGCACUUCCACACCUCGCCAGUUCGAUUCGAUGGCCAAAGGUUAUUAGGUGAUGGUUUGACUUCUGAGCUUGCUGGCCGGUUAUCUUCUCCAUCGAGGUGGUUGUUUGCUGUUAGCCUGUUACUGGUUAGUGCUUACUACUUAGUGGUUGGUGCUCAUUUCUGGUCUCCAGUAAGAAUUUACAAGAUUUACAUGUAGGACUUAAGAUUAUCAAUUUUUUUUCUAGUUGCACAAUGUCGUCGGCUGCAUCAACUGCAAUUCAAGCCAAUCAACAGUUGUGUCUGUGUCUUAAAUUUUAGUUAUGUUGGAAAGACAUCAACUCUUUGAGUGCAA